UACGGGGGGGGCAAGCGUUGUUCGGAAUUACUGGGCGUAAAGGGCCAGUAGGCGGCCAACUAAGUCCGACGUGAAAUCCCCAGGCUUAACCGGGGAACUGCAUCUGAUACUGGAUGGCUUGAGAUUGGGAGAGGGAUGCGGAAUUCCAGGUGUAGCGGUGAAAUGCGUAGAUAUCUGGAGGAACACCGGUGGCGAAGGCGGCAUCCUGGACCAACACUGACGCUGAGGAGCGAAAGCCAGGGGAGCAAACGGG
RNAcentral lists this ribosomal RNA (253 nucleotides) under uncultured bacterium. RNAcentral's name for it is "partial 16S ribosomal RNA". It matches the Rfam family "Bacterial small subunit ribosomal RNA", at positions 524 to 776 of the family's 1533-position model. The record is from RNAcentral.